UACAGAGGUCCCAAGCGUUGUUCGGAUUCACUGGGCGUAAAGGGUGCGUAGGUGGUGAGGUAAGUCGGAUGUGAAAGCUCCGAGCUCAACUCGGAAAUGGCAUUGGAAACUACCUUGCUCGAGGGUUUGAGGGGGGACUGGAAUUCUCGGUGUAGCAGUGAAAUGCGUAGAUAUCGAGAGGAACACCAGUGGCGAAGGCGAGUCCCUGGACGACUCCUGACACUGAGGCACGAAAGCUAGGGGAGCAAACAGG
RNAcentral lists this ribosomal RNA (253 nucleotides) under uncultured bacterium. RNAcentral describes it as "partial 16S ribosomal RNA". It matches the Rfam family "Bacterial small subunit ribosomal RNA", at positions 524 to 776 of the family's 1533-position model. The record is from RNAcentral.